GAUGAAGAUCGUAGCGAAAUGCGAUAAGUAAUGUGAAUUGCAGAAUUCAGUGAAUCAUCGAAUCUUUGAACGCACAUUGCGCCCGCCAGUAUUCUGGCGGGCAUGCCUGUUCGAGCGUCAUUUCAACCAUCAAGCCCCCGGCUUGUGUUGGGGACCUGCGGCUGCCGCAGGCCCUGAAAACCAGUGGCGGGCUCGCUAGUCACUCCGAGCGUAGUAAUACAUCUCGCUCAGGGCGUGCUGCGGGUUCCGGCCGUUAAAAAGCCUUAUUUACCCAAGGUUGACCUCGGAUCAGGUAGGAAGACCCGCUGAACUUAAGCAUAUCAAUAAGCGGAGGA
This 335-nucleotide unclassified non-coding RNA is filed under the name soil metagenome. RNAcentral describes it as "partial contains 5.8S ribosomal RNA, internal transcribed spacer 2, and large subunit ribosomal RNA". The stretch from base 1 to 120 matches the Rfam family "5.8S ribosomal RNA", at positions 35 to 154 of the family's 154-position model. The record is from RNAcentral.